This is a non-coding RNA of Acanthosepion pharaonis, 107 nucleotides long. The record is from the annotation of a GenBank genome assembly. Lineage: Eukaryota; Metazoa; Mollusca; Cephalopoda; Sepiida; Sepiidae.
CCACAUCAUUUUGAAACACUGGUUCCCAUACGACCACCAAAGUUAAGCUUUGUUGAGCCUAAUCUGUACUUAGAUGGGUGACCAUUUGGGAAUACCAGAUUCUGUAA